RNAcentral lists this ribosomal RNA (509 nucleotides) under uncultured bacterium. RNAcentral's name for it is "bacterial SSU rRNA". It matches the Rfam family "Bacterial small subunit ribosomal RNA", at positions 8 to 518 of the family's 1533-position model. The record is from RNAcentral.
AGAGUUGAUCCUGGCUUAGGAUGAACGCAGCGGCAGGCUUAACACAUGCAAGUCGAGGGCAGCGCGAGUAGCAAUACUUGGCGGCGACCGGCGCAAGGGUGCGUAACGCGUGAGCAACAUGCCCGUAUCAGGGGGAUAAUCCAGGGAAACUUGGUCUAAUACCCCAUAGUAAUUUUGAAGGCAUCUUAUAAGAUUUAAGCUUUGGUGGAUACGGAUUGGCUCGCGUGACAUUAGCUGGAUGGUAAGGUAACGGCUUACCAUGGCUAUGAUGUCUAGGGGUUCUGAGAGGAAGGUCCCCCACACUGGAACUGAGACACGGUCCAGACUCCUACGGGAGGCAGCAGUGAGGAAUAUUGGACAAUGGAUGGAAAUCUGAUCCAGCCAUGCCGCGUGAAGGAAGAAGGUCCUAUGGAUUGUAAACUUCUUUGUAUGGGAGCAAUAAGGCCUACGAGUAGGUUGAUGAGAGUACCAUACGAAUAAGCACCGGCUAACUCCGUGCCAGCCGCUGC